Molecule: ribosomal RNA, 454 nt
Filed under: uncultured bacterium
Lineage: Bacteria
Description: bacterial SSU rRNA
Rfam family: Bacterial small subunit ribosomal RNA
Source: RNAcentral
GACGAACGCUGGCGGCGUGGAUUAGGCAUGCAAGUCGAACGGUAUCAUCCUUUCGGGGGUGAGAGAGUGGCGGACGGGUGAGUAACGCGUGAACAUCUACCCAUUGGAGGGGGACAACCCGUCGAAAGGCGGGCUAAUACCGCGUAAGCCGCGAGGUGAGAGGCUGCCUAUUGGUGGCCGCCGAUGGAUGGGUUCGCGUCCUAUCAGCUGGUUGGUGGGGUAACGGCCUACCAAGGCGAAGACGGGUAGCCGGUCUGAGAGGAUGGCCGGCCACACUGGAACUGAGACACGGUCCAGACUCCUACGGGAGGCAGCAGUGGGGAAUAUUGGGCAAUGGGGGAAACCCUGACCCAGCAACGCCGCGUGAAGGACGAAGGCCUUCGGGUUGUAAACUUCUUGAUCAGGGACGAAAGCGAUGACGGUACCUGAGGAACAAGCCACGGCUAACUACGUG